Molecule: ribosomal RNA, 406 nt
Filed under: uncultured bacterium
Lineage: Bacteria
Description: partial 16S ribosomal RNA
Rfam family: Bacterial small subunit ribosomal RNA
Source: RNAcentral
AUUGAACGCUGGCGGCAGGCCUAACACAUGCAAGUCGAACGAGUGGCGGACGGGUGAGUAAUGUCUGGGAAACUGCCUGACGGAGGGGGCUAACUACUGGAAACGGUAGCUACUACCGCAUACCAUCGGAUGUGCCCAGAUUGGAUUAUCUAGUAGGUGGGGUAACGGCUCACCUAGGCGACGAUCCCUAGCUGGUCUGAGAGGAUGACCGGCCACACGGGAACUAGGACCCGGUCCAGAUUCCUACGGGAGGCAGCAGUGGGGAAUAUUGCACAAUGGGCGCAAGCCUGAUGCAGCAAGGCCGCGUGGAUAAAGAAGGCCUUCGGGUUGUAAAGUACGUUCAGCGGGGAGGCGUUACCGGCAGAAGAAGCACCGGCUAACUCCGUGCCAGCAGCCGCGGUAAUUC